UAUUGCAGACAUAAUGACCAAUCAAUAAUGG
RNAcentral lists this non-coding RNA (31 nucleotides) under Mus musculus (house mouse). Lineage: Eukaryota; Metazoa; Chordata; Mammalia; Rodentia; Muridae. The record is from RNAcentral.